RNAcentral lists this unclassified non-coding RNA (255 nucleotides) under uncultured Patescibacteria group bacterium. RNAcentral describes it as "contains 16S-23S intergenic spacer region". It matches the Rfam family "Bacterial small subunit ribosomal RNA", at positions 524 to 776 of the family's 1533-position model. The record is from RNAcentral.
UACGUAGGGUGCAAGCAUUAUCCGGAGUGACUGGGCGUAAAGAGUUGCGUAGGUGGUUAGUAAAGUGAAUAGUGAAAUCUGGCGGCUCAACCGUACAGACUAUUAUUCAAACUCACUAACUCGAGAAUGGUAGAGGUAACUGGAAUUUCUUGUGUAGGAGUGAAAUCCGUAGAUAUAAGAAGGAACACCAAUGGCGUAGGCAGGUUACUGGACCAUUUCUGACACUGAGGCACGAAAGCGUGGGGAGCGAACCGG